Molecule: long non-coding RNA, 351 nt
Filed under: Mustela putorius furo (domestic ferret)
Lineage: Eukaryota; Metazoa; Chordata; Mammalia; Carnivora; Mustelidae
Description: lncRNA (ENSMPUG00000024312.1)
Source: RNAcentral
AUGGCAUUUGGUCUGAGGUCUGCAGAAUGGGAGUGGACGUGGAAACGCUCAGCCUGCGCUGCCGGCCUGUGUGUCAUAGCACUGGGGUUAGGAGGGGUGACGCCGUCGCCGUCCCAACUGACUAGAAGCUGCGGGAAGUUUCCAGCCUACCGGCCUGAUUUCUUUUUGGAAAGCAACUUCUUUAGUAGCUGUUUAGGAAACUACGGUGAACGGGGAAAAAGCAGACACCAGCUCGGCUUGUUGUUCAUGCCACGUCUGUAGAGUCACAUGCGAGAAGCUGAGAAGCUGCCUCUUUCUUGACCUGAAUGUCACCGUCGUCACCAUAAUCAUUUAUGGAGCGCUGACUAUAUG